This is a long non-coding RNA of Aplysia californica (California sea hare), 1583 nucleotides long. RefSeq lists it as uncharacterized. The transcript is spliced from 3 exons. Lineage: Eukaryota; Metazoa; Mollusca; Gastropoda; Aplysiida; Aplysiidae. The record is from RefSeq and is a predicted model, not a curated record.
GCGACUAACGCUGAGGGGGGAGGACCCAAUUCGGUUUUUCGCCGCGGCUUCUCUCAUGUUGUGUGUGUGUGCAUGUGAACAAAUGGGACUCCUUCCUUCCUUCUUCCUUCCCGUUGAAUGGUCAGCUGGAUGUGAGAACAGAAACUGCCUCCAACGGCCUUUGUGAAUAAUUAUGUUGAUAGUGUGAUUCGGUCACUCACAUUCGAUGUCAUGUCGUGACGGAGCUUACUUUCAUGUUUUUCAUCAGGUGUCGUUUGCGGAACUGGAUCUAGCGGAGUAUCUUUCUACCUGUGCUGAGCCAGGUUAGAUUACCUGCUGAAGGAGUGGGCCGGGGAUGUCACAUCGUACUAUGGGCUUUCUCUGAGAUACCUGCCCCCAAAGCCCUGUGGUUGUUGGAUUCCGGUACAUGUAGGCAACUGUGCGUAGGCUAGCGUCGUUUUUUCAGCGCUGUGAAAGAAAAAUCACAAUCUUGAAUUACGCGUGUUGCAGUGACAACAAUAAUUUGUAGGCCACGGACUCGGAUUUAGCCAGUCUUUGUCGCCCUCAGUUUUUGGGUGAAGGUAUCUCAUGGACUUCGGUUCAAGAUGUUCAGUUGUGACGCUGUAACUGACUGUCAGGGGGAUUAGAAUCUCGUCAACUGGGAUGAUUCAUUUCUAUUCUCUGUGGACUUUAUAAUCUAGACUAGAAUCUAGAUUCUAGAAUUCUAGAUUAGAUCUCUCUUUGCCUUGACUAGUCUGGCAAGACAUCGAAGUCUAAAGACUAAAAGGCCCUGGCCCAAUUUUUUUUAAUUUAACGAAACAUUCCAUGCUUGGCAAAUUUGCUUGACCGUGAACUUAUAGAUCUAGUCUAGAUCUAUAUAAUAUUAUUUAUUACACGGAUUUCACAGGAUUAGGUCUAGAUCUAUAUUCUAGAUGUAGACAAGGAUACACAAUCAGACUGGAAGUCAGCAGCCCCUAAUUCUCAAAUUGCUGAGUUUACACUGACAGAGCAGUCCCUGAACGUCCGGGUUGUCUCUAGCCCACCGAAAUCCAAUUUGUCCUGGCACGAUCACCAUAACGAGGAGUCUCAGGCGAAUGACGUCAGCAGCCACGCCCACCUCUGGAUGUCAUCAUUAGCGGUGUGAGAGACAGCCAGCAGUGACGCCCACCGGUCAUUUCACCAACCCGCUGCCAGUGCUAGAUCUACGCCAAUUGUGACUAACCUGUAACCUCUGCGGAAAGAGCCCGAUAAGCGGGUAUCGAAGCCAUCUGUCCCUCUGGUGAAGGAAGACGGAGCCCCAUCAGCGUUAUUCACUCAUCUAAUACAGGCGCCGAAGGCCAGGGAGGACGUUUCUCGUCCAAUUUAGAUGAGACAAAUUUGGUUGUGACAUUUUCCCCGGUCUGCGAUAUUCGGCGUGGGCGAAGAGUGUCUGGAUCCUUUCACCUCGAGGCAGAUUUUCCCAAUUUACUCGGGUAAUUCGUUGUAAUGAGCCUAUUCGUUCCACAUAUCGGUCUGCCAGCGGCGCUGUCUUCCUAACAUUUCUUCGCUGCCUACCAGCUGGGGCCAUAUUCUCUGUUCAGCGAAUCUCAGUCGUACUGGACUUC